UAGCGAAAGCUAGUUGCAUUAAAUUCGAUUAAUUCGAAGUWAUUGCAGCAUCGACUAUGUCGAAUAAAGUUCUAGGUAGAGUUAUGAUAAUGACAUUUUCUAUCUAUGUGUCUUGACCAAAUCACGUGCCAGCAGUCGCGGUAAUACGUGGAAGACUAGUGUUAUUCAUCUUUAAUAGGUUUAAAGGGUACUUAGACGGUAUUUUUAGCCCAAAUAAAAACAAAGGGUACUAAUUAUACUAGAGUUUAAUGAGUGGGGGGUGCGUACGAAUGGUGUAGAGAUGAAAUUCUGUCAUACCAUUAUGACAGGCGACGGCGAAAGCAACCUUUAGUUAAAAACUGACGUUAAAGGACGAAGGCUUUGUAUCACCAACAGGAUUAGAUACCCAAGCAGUCUAAGCAGACAAUUAUGAAUGCCAUAGAUAAGAAAUCCAUAGAUAAAGAAAGAAGAAAACAUGUACUUUUCAGAAUGCCCUUUUUGGGCAUUGGUUUAUUAAAACCAAAAUAAACUUCUCCUCUUCACUUCUUCAUUUAUUGAAGAAAGAGAGAAGUCGAGAUGAAAAAAAUGGCUCGUAAUCUUAUCUAUCAUCAUCAUCUUUCAGAUGAUGAAGAAUACAUUUCUUUUAGACAUCGACUAUGUCGAAGUUAACAAAAAAAGAAAUAGGAUGUAUUUUUGUCUAUAAAUGAAAGUGUAAGCAUUCCACCUCAAGAGUAAAGUGGCAACGCACAAACUGAAAUCAUUAGACCGUUUCUGAAACCAGUAGUGAAGUAUGUUGUUUAAUUUGAUGGUCCGCAAAAAACCUUACCACAAUUUGUAUAUUAUUAGCUUAAUACAAGAGUUGCACGGCUGUCUUCAGUUAAUGUCGUGAGAUUUUGGUUAGUUCCAUAAAAUUAACGUAAACCCUUACUUUAUUUAUAUUAUAAAGUAGUUCACCGCUAUAUUGGAUAUGAUA
Molecule: ribosomal RNA, 952 nt
Filed under: Aspiciliella intermutans
Lineage: Eukaryota; Fungi; Ascomycota; Lecanoromycetes; Pertusariales; Megasporaceae
Description: partial 12S ribosomal RNA
Rfam family: Bacterial small subunit ribosomal RNA
Source: RNAcentral